Molecule: long non-coding RNA, 803 nt
Filed under: Homo sapiens (human)
Lineage: Eukaryota; Metazoa; Chordata; Mammalia; Primates; Hominidae
Description: long non-coding RNA NONHSAT006707.2
Source: RNAcentral
UAGUCCACACUCUGCCUAACACUACGCCCUACCUCACAUUCCUAUUGACAUCUGCUGCAGAUCACACCCUUGUGAUGGACAAACUGCUCAGUACAGUCCCACCCACCCAGCCUCCUUGUCCUGGGCACGAGGUUUUUGCCUCCCUGAUUUGGAGUAUUUGGCCCUUACUAGAGAGCUGCCAGAUGAGAACUCAGAGGCUCCUCCCGGCUCACCUGCAUCCUCAAAUACGCCUUCUGUCCAGUCCUAAUCUCCAGCCCAUCGACCUCCGCUGGAGGAAUGGGGGCCAGUGCUGGAAGGCCUGCAUGUUGGUCACCCAGUUUGCAGUCCACGUAGAGAUGUAGGGCAGGGCUGGGUCUGGAGGGACCUCGGAGUCGCAGGAGAACUGUGUGUGUGCGCCCAUCAGCCAGGCCCGCUUGCUGUAGGUUCACGGCGUGGACUUUGCCAUCCUCCCGCUGGUAUCGCACCAGUACUGCCCAGGAGGGGAGAUCAGUAUGGGCGCUAUCCCCCACCCCCUGCCUCCCAGCUGAGCCUUGGAUCAACUCUGCUAGAUACCACAUCUCUAGGGCCCCUAUCCCUAAUUCUACUAUGUGGCUCUCAACACCUUGUAUUUAAUAGGUACACAAUAAAUGUUUUUGAAAUUGCUUUAGAGGCCAGGCACGGUGGCUCACACCUGUAAUCCCAGCACUUUAGAAGGCCAAGGUGGGCAGAUCACUUGAGGUCAGAAGUUCGAGAACAGCCUGGUCAACAUGGCGAAACCCUGUUUCUACUAAAAAUACAAAAGUUAGCCAGGCAUGGUGGUGGGC